This 468-nucleotide ribosomal RNA is filed under the name uncultured bacterium. RNAcentral describes it as "partial 16S ribosomal RNA". It matches the Rfam family "Bacterial small subunit ribosomal RNA", at positions 28 to 507 of the family's 1533-position model. The record is from RNAcentral.
GACGAACGCUGGCGGCGUGCUUAAUACAUGCAAGUCGAACGGACAGGCCCUGCUUUUGUGUGCUGCUCCAUUGGCUAACAGUUGCGUAACACGGAGUUACCCGGCGCUUGCCUUUGGGGUAACUUCGGGAAACUAGGGCUAACACCAGCUAGUAGCUCAUGCUGCAUGUUGGUGCUUGGAAAGUUUCGGCGGUUGGGUAUGGACUCGCGGCUUAUCAGCUUGUUGGUGGGGUAGUGGCUUACCAAGGCUUUGACGGGUAGCCGGCCUGAGAGGGUGACCGGCCACAUUGGGACUGAGAUACGGCCCAGACUCCUACGGGAGGCAGCAGUGGGGAAUAUUGCACAAUGGGCGGAAGCCUGAUGCAGCAACGCCGCGUGCGGGAUGACGGCCUUCGGGUUGUAAACCGCUUUCGCCUGUGACGAAGCGUGAGUGACGGUAAUGGGUAAAGAAGAACCGGCUAACUACGUG